RNAcentral lists this ribosomal RNA (1324 nucleotides) under 'Emilia sonchifolia' witches'-broom phytoplasma. RNAcentral's name for it is "bacterial SSU rRNA". It matches the Rfam family "Bacterial small subunit ribosomal RNA", at positions 113 to 1435 of the family's 1533-position model. The record is from RNAcentral. Lineage: Bacteria; Bacillati; Mycoplasmatota; Mollicutes; Acholeplasmatales; Acholeplasmataceae.
ACACGUAAGCAACCUACCCUAAAGACGAGGAUAACCAUUGGAAACAGUGGCUAAGACUGGAUAGGAAGAUAAAAGGCAUCUUGUAUCUUUUAAAAGACCUAGUUAAUAGGUAUGCUUUAGGAGGGGCUUGCGCCAUAUUAGUUAGUUGGUAGGGUAAUGGCCUACCAAGACGAUGAUGUGUAGCUGGACUGAGAGGUUGAACAGCCACAUUGGGACUGAGACACGGCCCAAACUCCUACGGGAGGCAGCAGUAGGGAAUUUUCGGCAAUGGAGGAAACUCUGACCGAGCAACGCCGCGUGAAUGACGAAGUACUUCGGUAUGUAAAGUUCUUUUAUCGAGGAAGAAAAGCAAAUGGCGAACCAUUUGUUUGCCGGUACUUGAUGAAUAAGCCCCGGCUAAUUAUGUGCCAGCAGCCGCGGUAAGACAUAAGGGGCAAGUGUUAUCCGGAAUUAUUGGGCGUAAAGGGUGCGUAGGCGGUCUAGUAAGUCAGUGGUGUAAUGGCAACGCUUAACGUUGUCCGGCUAUUGAAACUGCUAAACUUGAGUUAGAUAGAGGCGAGUGGAAUUCCAUGUGUAGCGGUAAAAUGCGUAAAUAUAUGGAGGAACACCAGAGGCGUAGGCGGCUCGCUGGGUCUUAACUGACGCUGAGGCACGAAAGCGUGGGGAGCAAACAGGAUUAGAUACCCUGGUAGUCCACGCCGUAAACGAUGAGUACUAAGUGUCGGGUUAAACCGGUACUGAAGUUAACACAUUAAGUACUCCGCCUGAGUAGUACGUACGCAAGUAUGAAACUUAAAGGAAUUGACGGGACUCCGCACAAGCGGUGGAUCAUGUUGUUUAAUUCGAAGAUACCCGAAAAACCUUACCAGGUCUUGACAUGUUUUUGCAAAAUGAUAGUAAUAUCGUGGAGGUUACCAGAAACACAGGUGGUGCAUGGUUGUCGUCAGCUCGUGUCGUGAGAUGUUAGGUUAAGUCCUAAAACGAGCGAAACCCUUAUCGUUAGUUGCCAGCACGUUAUGGUGGGGACUUUAACGAGACUGCCAAUGAUAAAUUGGAGGAAGGUGAGGAUCACGUCAAAUCAGCAUGCCCCUUAUGACCUGGGCUACAAACGUGAUACAAUGGCUGUUACAAAGGGUAGCUGAAACGCAAGUUCUUGGCCAAUCCCCAAAAACAGUCCCAGUCCGGAUUGAAGUCUGCAACUCGACUUCAUGAAGUUGGAAUCGCUAGUAAUCGCGAAUCAGCAUGUCGCGGUGAAUACGUUCUCGGGGUUUGUACACACCGCCCGUCAAACCACGAAAGUUGGCAAUACCCCAAAACGGUAGCC